UGUAGAAUCUGCAAGUGGAGAUAUGGACCGCUUUCAGGCCUAUGGUAGUAAAGGAAAUAGCUUCAUAUAAAAGCUAGACAAUAGCAUUCACAGAAAACUCUUGGUGACGACUGAGUUUAACUCACAGAGCUGAACAUUCCUUUGGAUGGAGCAGUUUCGAAACACACUAUUUGUAGAAUGUGCAAGUGGAUAUUUGGGCCUCUCUGAGGAUUUCGCUGGAAACGGGAU
This 228-nucleotide long non-coding RNA is filed under the name Homo sapiens (human). RNAcentral describes it as "HSALNT0389125". Lineage: Eukaryota; Metazoa; Chordata; Mammalia; Primates; Hominidae. The record is from RNAcentral.